GCCGGAUGCAGUGGCGCGUGCCUGUAGUCCCAGCUACUUAGGAGUCUGAUGUGGGAGGAUUGCUUGAGCCCAGGAGUUCUGGGCUGUAGUGCGCUAUGCUGAUGGGGUGUGUGCACUAAGUUCGGCAUCAAUAUGGUGACCUCCUGGGAGCGGGGGAUCACCAGGUUCCCUAAGGAGGGGUGAACCGGCCCAGGCCAGAAACGGAGCACGUCAAAACUCCAGUGCUGAUCAGUAGUGGGAUUGCCCCUGUGAAUAGCUACUGCACUCCAGCCUGGGCAACAUAGCAAGACCAUUUCUCU
This is an unclassified non-coding RNA of Cebus imitator (Panamanian white-faced capuchin), 299 nucleotides long. It matches the Rfam family "Metazoan signal recognition particle RNA". From Rfam's summary of the family: The signal recognition particle (SRP) is a universally conserved ribonucleoprotein. It is involved in the co-translational targeting of proteins to membranes. NCBI's taxonomy places the organism in Eukaryota, Metazoa, Chordata, Mammalia, Primates, Cebidae. The record is from Ensembl.